GAGGAAUACAAAAAUACUGGUUGGAAUUUUUAUUUUAACCUUAAUAGCAGCUGUGUUGCAGGCGGCGGGUUACGCUACACCAGGCUGGUUGGUCGUUUCAGGAACUUAGAAUUGACAAACAGAAGGAGCUUGACACAUUUAAGUUAAUAGCGACAGCGGCAGCGGUAAUAAGCCUCUUCACACCCGUUGUAGUGGCGGUGUACAUAAGAAGAUUACGACUUCAGCGGAACAUUACGAUCGUUGCUGGCACUGCACUGCUGUGCUCUUGUGCCUUGGUCCCGGAGUUCUUGCAUUGGUAGUUGUUAGUAAAAUAGCAAGCGGCGUACACAAGGCUUAUGACAUAUGGAUGAAGAUGGAGGAUACAGAUUUCAAAUUAGGCUUACUUUACUCCGAAAUGUUGAUGGGACUUGGAGGGGCACUUGAUUGUCUGGCUUUCAUCGGGCUGUGCAUCCAAUUAUUUUUCCGGAAGAAGACAUGUGGCGACAGUAGUGGGAAUGGAGAAUUUGUUGAAAUGGCGUGAGAUACGAAACAAUGAUGUUUUUUUUGUAUAACAAUGACAGUGUAACAUUUUUUUACCGCUAGAUAGGCUAUUAUCCCUUAAUUCAAACAUUUAGAAAUUGACAGCUACGUUACAGAAGCUGAAAGAUAUUUGAUAUCUUAAAGGAAUACCACACAUUUAUAUACCGUUUGCAGGAUGUUUCGCUUCUGGUUGUUAAGCAAAUAUAAGUUUUUUGCAAUUUUUCAUAUGUAGAAUGUACCUUUGUCUGAUUUCCCGAUAGUAGUAUCCGGCAAGUUUCUUGUUUUGCAAUGUCACUAUCUGACACGUUACUGGUUUGUUAGUAUCAAUAUCCAAUAUGUACCUGGCUUGAGAGGAUGCAGCGGUCCAGAGGUAACACUGUAUAAUACUACAAAACCAGGGGCUAUGAGUUCGAAAUAUAAACAUUGGGAUAAGAGUUUCGUUUACUGAUGCUUUACACUGGGCAUGCUAAAGAACCAGUGAAGCUUCUGAAACUGGAGCAUCUUUUGUAUUUUGCACUAUCCUCCCACUAAAAUUAUUAACAUUCUUCUGGAGGAAUAGUCCAUAUGGUUUACCGGUAGCAACUAUGAAUAAACUUAUAAACAAAAUAACAUAUGGCCUAAUGACUUUAGUCUGCCCACUUCAAUUUUGAAUGGAAAAAUAACUAAAAAUAACGAAUUCUCAUGUUUUUCAAUAACAUAUACUGUAUCGUAAAUAAGUUUCAAAGUCUUCUUAAGAAAUAUAGCAAUAAUUUUCUGAUAUCUUAAAAAUCUUCGUGCUUUGUUGACGUUUGAUCUUGAGGUUAGUGCCUUUAAAUAUUGAACACUGCUUAAGAUGAGCGCAAGGUUAUUUUGAAAGUAAUAAUACUGUAUGGCAUCAUGUUAUACCGGUAUUCUCAAUGUUUGAACAUACGCUGUAUUCUUAGGAGUUGUAGAGGUGUUUCAAGGUUUGUUUUUUCUACUUCAGCGCUGGCUUCUCCUAAUGUUAGUCAAGAAAACCCAGUUGAACUCGUAACUUUGGGACAUGGUGGGGGCAAGAGCGAGGUUGGAUGCGCACCAUAAACCGGUUUAAGCUCCCCAGUGGGUUCCAGUUCGGUGCCCUACUGUGUUUCUUUAUUUGUUCGUUUUGUCCUCGCGUGUUUGCUUUGUAUGUGUUGGUAGUGUGCACAUCUGCGUGCUUUGAAUUCCGUUUUGGGGAGGCUGUGUUUUUGCCAUGUGGCAUUCCCUGACUUAUAUUUAUCCCUUUUUUUGUUGUUGUUGUUUUUAUUUGUUUGGGGUUUUUUUUGGG
This is a long non-coding RNA of Mercenaria mercenaria, 1804 nucleotides long. RefSeq lists it as uncharacterized. The transcript has 3 exons. NCBI's taxonomy places the organism in Eukaryota, Metazoa, Mollusca, Bivalvia, Venerida, Veneridae. The record is from RefSeq and is a predicted model, not a curated record.